UACAGAGGGUGCAAGCGUUGUCCGGAUUUACUGGGCGUAAAGAGCGCGCAGGCGGUCGUUCAAGUCGCGUGUGAAAGCCCCCGGCUCAACUGGGGAGGGUCACGCGAUACUGAUCGACUCGAAGGCAGGAGAGGGUAGUGGAAUUCCCGGUGUAGUGGUGAAAUGCGUAGAUAUCGGGAGGAACACCAGUGGCGAAGGCGACUACCUGGCCUGUUCUUGACGCUGAGGCGCGAAAGCUAGGGGAGCAAACGGG
Molecule: ribosomal RNA, 253 nt
Filed under: uncultured bacterium
Lineage: Bacteria
Description: partial 16S ribosomal RNA
Rfam family: Bacterial small subunit ribosomal RNA
Source: RNAcentral